This 538-nucleotide ribosomal RNA is filed under the name fungal endophyte. Its description in RNAcentral is "eukaryotic LSU rRNA". The stretch from base 156 to 309 matches the Rfam family "5.8S ribosomal RNA". Lineage: Eukaryota; Fungi. The record is from RNAcentral.
UCGGGUUUCGAGGUUUCACUCCCAACCCCUGUGACAUACCUUAAUGUUGCCUCGGCGGAUCAGCCCGCGCCCCGUAAAACGGGACGGCCCGCCAGAGGACCCAAACUCUAAUGUUUCUUAUUGUAACUUCUGAGUAAAACAAACAAAUAAAUCAAAACUUUCAACAACGGAUCUCUUGGUUCUGGCAUCGAUGAAGAACGCAGCAAAAUGCGAUAAGUAAUGUGAAUUGCAGAAUUCAGUGAAUCAUCGAAUCUUUGAACGCACAUUGCGCCCGCUGGUAUUCCGGCGGGCAUGCCUGUUCGAGCGUCAUUUCAACCCUCAAGCCCCCGGGUUUGGUGUUGGGGAUCGGCUCUGCCCUUCUGGGCGGUGCCGCCCCCGAAAUACAUUGGCGGUCUCGCUGCAGCCUCCAUUGCGUAGUAGCUAACACCUCGCAACUGGAACGCGGCGCGGCCAUGCCGUAAAACCCCAACUUCUGAAUGUUGACCUCGGAUCAGGUAGGAAUACCCGCUGAACUUAAGCAUAUCAAUAAGCGGAGGAA